Small nucleolar RNA from Andrographis paniculata, 222 nucleotides. RefSeq annotates it as small nucleolar RNA U3. The transcript has a single exon. The record is from RefSeq and is a predicted model, not a curated record. Lineage: Eukaryota; Viridiplantae; Streptophyta; Magnoliopsida; Lamiales; Acanthaceae.
ACGACCUUACUUGAACAGGAUCUGUUCUAUAGGCUCGUACCUCUGCAUCCUUGAGUUCUAAGGAGGCAAGAAACCAAGUCUGGUGGAUGAGCCAUGGCUGCAUGACCAGAGCGUGAUUAGCAGCCACCCCUGGUUCAGCCCAUGAGCCAUGGGCGAGCCGCAGAGGAUCGUUCUCGGCUGGCUUCGGCCCUCCGGGGUGGUCCUGCAGCUGUCUGACAGACA